GACGAACGCUGGCGGCGUGCCUAAUACAUGCAAGUCGAACGCAGUGGGGACGGGUGAGUAACACGUGGGUAACCUCCCAUCAGAGGGGAUAACACUUGGAAAUAGGUGCUAAACCGAUAUGGAUGGACGGACCCGCGGUGCAUUAGCCAGUUGGUGAGGUAAAGGCUCACCAAGGCCACGAUGCAUAGCCGACCUGAGAAGGUGGUCAGCCAAACUGGGACUGGGGAACGGCCCAGACUCCUGAGGGAUGCAGCAGUGGGGAAUCUUCGGCAAUGGACGAAAGUCUGACCGAGCAACGCCGCGUGAGUGAAGGAGGUUUUCGGAUCGUGAAACUCUGUUGUUAGGGAAGCGGUAUCUAACCAGAAAGCCACGGCUAACUACGUGCCAGCAGCCGCGGUAAUUC
This 403-nucleotide ribosomal RNA is filed under the name uncultured bacterium. RNAcentral describes it as "partial 16S ribosomal RNA". It matches the Rfam family "Bacterial small subunit ribosomal RNA", at positions 28 to 526 of the family's 1533-position model. The record is from RNAcentral.